GUAGGGAAUCUUCGGCAAUGGGGGCAACCCUGACCGAGCAACGCCGCGUGAGUGAAGAAGGUUUUCGGAUCGUAAAACUCUGUUGUAAGUCAAGAACGAGUGUGAGAGUGGAAAGUUCACACUGUGACGGUAGCUUACCAGAAAGGGACGGCUAACUACGUGCCAGCAGCCGCGGUAAUACGUAGGUCCCGAGCGUUGUCCGGAUUUAUUGGGCGUAAAGCGAGCGCAGGCGGUUUGAUAAGUCUGAAGUUAAAGGCUGUGGCUCAACCAUAGUUCGCUUUGGAAACUGUCAAACUUGAGUGCAGAAGGGGAGAGUGGAAUUCCAUGUGUAGCGGUGAAAUGCGUAGAUAUAUGGAGGAACACCGGUGGCGAAAGCGGCUCUCUGGUCUGUAACUGACGCUGAGGCUCGAAAGCGUGGGGAGCGAACAGGAUUAGAUACCCUGGUAGUCCACGCCGUAAACGAUGAGUGCUAGGUGUUGGAUCCUUUCCGGGAUUCAGUGCCGCAGCUAACGCAUUAAGCACUCCGCCUGGGGAGUACGACCGCAAGGUUG
Molecule: ribosomal RNA, 551 nt
Filed under: uncultured bacterium
Lineage: Bacteria
Description: bacterial SSU rRNA
Rfam family: Bacterial small subunit ribosomal RNA
Source: RNAcentral